Molecule: ribosomal RNA, 620 nt
Filed under: Russula pectinatoides
Lineage: Eukaryota; Fungi; Basidiomycota; Agaricomycetes; Russulales; Russulaceae
Description: eukaryotic LSU rRNA
Rfam family: 5.8S ribosomal RNA (bases 258-411)
Source: RNAcentral
GUCGUAACAAGGUUUCCGUAGGUGAACCUGCGGAAGGAUCAUUAUCGUACAAUGGAGGUGCUGGGGUUGUCGCUGACUUUUGAAAUGGUCGUGCACGCCUUGAUACUCUCACAUACAAUCCAUCUCACCCCUCUUGGGCAUCACCGCGUGGAGGCCCCUUUUGGCUAGUUCUAAAAGGUUUUUAAGUUUUUGAUCCCGCCUCGGUUUUAUCGCAAUGAGUACAACGUCAUACUUUUGCGAUCACACGCAAUUAAUACAACUUUCAACAACGGAUCUCUUGGCUCUCGCAUCGAUGAAGAACGCAGCGAAAUGCGAUACGUAAUGUGAAUUGCAGAAUUCAGUGAAUCAUCGAAUCUUUGAACGCACCUUGCGCCCUUUGGUAUUCCGAAGGGCACACCCGUUUGAGUGUCGUGUACAUCCUCAAACCUUCUUGGUUUCUCAACCAGGAAGGCUUUGGACUCUGGAGGUUCUUGCUGGCCUUACUUUGUUGAAGCCAGCUCCUCUAAAAUGAAUUAGUGGGAUCUGCCUUGCGGAUACUUGACGUGAUAAGAUAUUUCUACGUCUUGGAUCUCGCACUGUUCGCUCUGGAUCCUGCUUCUAACCGUCUCAUAGAAGACAAU